RNAcentral lists this long non-coding RNA (793 nucleotides) under Homo sapiens (human). Its description in RNAcentral is "non-protein coding lnc-ACTR2-4:1". Lineage: Eukaryota; Metazoa; Chordata; Mammalia; Primates; Hominidae. The record is from RNAcentral.
GCGAUCUAUUUUACUUUAGAAAACCAAAUCUUGCUGGGCAUGGAACCUAAACUAUGGUGACAAUUUAAAGGACCUUGAUUCAAAGAAUCAAUUAAGGAGGCUGUCCUCUUUGUUUUGCUUUUACUUAGUAGUUUAGGUGGAAUUCAAGCAGAUAAUAUUCAACCUCUAAGUUCCCUGCUUACACAACUUGGAAUUCUAAAGGAGUCUCUAAAAUGAAAACAUCCCACAGGAAGUGAUGUAGCUAAAGUAUGAUUAUCUGUAUUUUUAAAACAAAUUACUUGUCCUUCAAAUGUCUUUUUCAGUAUGGGGUCAGAAUCACAUGUUCCUUUUGUUAAAAAUGCAGGCUCUUAGGCGGGGCGCGGUGGCUCACGCCUGUAAUCCCAGCACUUUGGGAGGCCAAGGCAGUGGGGGAUCACCUGAGGUCAGGAGUUCGAGCACUUAGAGACCAUCUUUUGCCAGUGUGCUGACCUCUGCUCCACCUCCCCCAAAUGGAUCUUCAGUUCAAAUGGAUGAUAAACACCUUUUCAUUAAAAAGGCCAGUUCUGGGAUGGUUAAAGCACCAUCAGUCAUUUACACAUCCAUUUGUAUUAAAAGGAAAUCCAGAGACUCACACUGACGCCUAGGGGAGAUUAGCAGCUCUUUGUGAUGUAAGUGAAAGGAAGGUCUGUAACUUUGGCCUAAGGAGUGCAUUGGAGAAAAUUGGUAGGUUCCUGAGGAAAUUCAGUUUUUAGAGCAAGCUCACUUUUUAGGGCAAGCUCACCUUGGUAGAUGAGAGUUGAGUGCUGGAAGUGGU